GCCUGGGUGGCUCAGUCGGUUAAGCGUCUGACUUCGGCUCAGGUCAUGAUCUCACAGUCUGUGGGUUUGAGCCCCGCGUCGGGCU
Molecule: transfer RNA, 85 nt
Filed under: Felis catus (domestic cat)
Lineage: Eukaryota; Metazoa; Chordata; Mammalia; Carnivora; Felidae
Rfam family: tRNA
About the family: Transfer RNA (tRNA) molecules are approximately 80 nucleotides in length. Their secondary structure includes four short double-helical elements and three loops (D, anti-codon, and T loops). Further hydrogen bonds mediate the characteristic L-shaped molecular structure. tRNAs have two regions of fundamental functional importance: the anti-codon, which is responsible for specific mRNA codon recognition, and the 3' end, to which the tRNAs corresponding amino acid is attached (by aminoacyl-tRNA synthetases). tRNAs cope with the degeneracy of the genetic code in two manners: having more than one tRNA (with a specific anti-codon) for a particular amino acid; and 'wobble' base-pairing, i.e. permitting non-standard base-pairing at the 3rd anti-codon position.
Source: Rfam by way of RNAcentral